CUUCAUCGAAAACAAUCUAGCGAGAAAAGCUCACUGCCAUGCAGUGAAUCAUGUUAUUUUUUGGCAUUUUGAGGUCGUUUAGAUGGCUUUUCAAGCAGUUUAUGAAAUUGAAUUUGUUAUAAAUAUGAAAAAUUAUUCUUUAUAUAUAGGCUAUAUUUGUGUUAAAUGUGAAACAUGUGAUUUAACUUGAUAUGAUAUAUAUGAAGAAUGCAAAUCAUAUGGAUUUAAUCCUAACUACGCCAAAAAUAAUUUAUUUGAAUUUGGUCCAGUUUUGGCGAUCAUGAAUUUCACGAUCUCUGAAUGACCUGAAAUUCAGUAGGAUCGUCGGAAACGGUCAUUUAAGAAGGACUCAGUGCUAUGCAGAAUCACAUCAUAUUUUGACAAUUCGGAAUCGUUUAGAUGACUUUUUUGGAGGUUUGACGGAUUAAAAUGUGAUUUACACACAAAAAGUCAUUCUUU
This 459-nucleotide long non-coding RNA is filed under the name Nicotiana benthamiana. RNAcentral's name for it is "long non-coding RNA (NBEN_LNC004091)". Lineage: Eukaryota; Viridiplantae; Streptophyta; Magnoliopsida; Solanales; Solanaceae. The record is from RNAcentral.